AGAGUUUGAUUCUGGCUCAGGAUGAACGCUAGCGACAGGCUUAACACAUGCAAGUCGAGGGGCAGCAUAAAAGUAGCAAUACUUGGUGGCGACCGGCGCACGGGUGAGUAACGCGUAUGCAACCUACCUAUCAGAGGGGAAUAACCCGGCGAAAGUCGGACUAAUACCGCAUAAAACAGGGGCACCGCAUGGUGAUAUUUGUUAAAGAAAUUCGCUGAUAGAUGGGCAUGCGUUCCAUUAGGUAGUUGGUGAGGUAACGGCUCACCAAGCCGACGAUGGAUAGGGGAACUGAGAGGUUGGUCCCCCACACUGGUACUGAGACACGGACCAGACUCCUACGGGAGGCAGCAGUGAGGAAUAUUGGUCAAUGGGCGGGAGCCUGAACCAGCCAAGUCGCCGUGAAGGAAGAAGGAUCUAUGGUUCGUAAACUUCUUUUGCAGGGGAAUAAAGUGCAGGACGUGUCCUGUUUUGUAUGUACCCUGAGAAUAAGGAUCGGCUAACUCCGUGCCAGCAGCCGC
RNAcentral lists this ribosomal RNA (518 nucleotides) under uncultured bacterium. RNAcentral describes it as "bacterial SSU rRNA". It matches the Rfam family "Bacterial small subunit ribosomal RNA", at positions 8 to 518 of the family's 1533-position model. The record is from RNAcentral.